GAAGUUGGAAUCGCUAGUAAUCGCGGAUCAGCAUGCCGCGGUGAAUACGUUCCCGGGCCUUGUACACACCGCCCGUCACACCAUGAGAGUCGGGAACACCCGAAGUCCGUAGCCUGACCGCAAGGGGGCGCGGCCGAAGGUGGGUUCGAUAAUUGGGGUGAAGUCGUAACAAGGUAAC
This 178-nucleotide ribosomal RNA is filed under the name uncultured bacterium. RNAcentral's name for it is "partial 16S ribosomal RNA". It matches the Rfam family "Bacterial small subunit ribosomal RNA", at positions 1322 to 1500 of the family's 1533-position model. The record is from RNAcentral.